GAUGAACGCUGGCGGCGUGCCUAAUACAUGCAAGUCGAGCGAACAGACGAGGAGCUUGCUCCUCUGACGUUAGCGGCGGACGGGUGAGUAACACGUGGAUAACCUACCUAUAAGACUGGGAUAACUUCGGGAAACCGGAGCUAAUACCGGAUAAUAUAUUGAACCGCAUGGUUCAAUAAUGAAAGACGGUUUUGCUGUCACUUAUAGAUGGAUCCGCGCCGCAUUAGCUAGUUGGUAAGGUAACGGCUUACCAAGGCAACGAUGCGUAGCCGACCUGAGCGGUUGAUCGGCCACACUGGAACUGAGACACGGUCCAGACUCCUACGGGAGGCAGCAGUAGGGAUUCUUCCGCAAUGGGCGAAAGCCUGACGGAGCAACGCCGCGUGAGUGAUGAAGGUCUUCGGAUCGUAAAACUCUGUUAUUAGGGAAGAACAAAUGUGUAAGUACCUAUGCACGUCUUGACGGUACCUAAUCAGAAAGCCACGGCUAACUACGUG
This 497-nucleotide ribosomal RNA is filed under the name uncultured bacterium. RNAcentral's name for it is "partial 16S ribosomal RNA". It matches the Rfam family "Bacterial small subunit ribosomal RNA", at positions 28 to 507 of the family's 1533-position model. The record is from RNAcentral.